Molecule: ribosomal RNA, 500 nt
Filed under: uncultured bacterium
Lineage: Bacteria
Description: partial 16S ribosomal RNA
Rfam family: Bacterial small subunit ribosomal RNA
Source: RNAcentral
GAUGAACGCUAGCGGCAGGCCUAAUACAUGCAAGUCGAGGGGCAGCGGGUGUAGCAAUACAUGCCGGCGACCGGCGCACGGGUGCGUAACACGUAUAUAAUCUACCUUUUACUGGAGAAUAGCCCGAAGAAAUUCGGAUUAAUACUCCAUAAUAUUAUUGGAAGGCAUCUUUUGAUAAUUAAAGUUCCGACGGUAAAAGAUGAGUAUGCGCGAUAUUAGCUAGUUGGUGAGGUAACGGCUCACCAAGGCGACGAUAUCUAGGGGUACUGAGAGGUUACACCCCCACACUGGUACUGAGACACGGACCAGCCUCCUACGGGAGGCAGCAGUAAGGAAUAUUGGACAAUGGUCGCAAGACUGAUCCAGCCAUGCCGCGCGCAGGAUGAAUGCCCUAUGGGUUGUAAACUGCUUUUAUACGGGAAUAAACCCGGGUACGUGUACCCGGCUGAAUGUACUGUAAGAAUAAGGGUCGGCUAACUUCGUGCCAGCCGCCGCCGUAA